Molecule: ribosomal RNA, 229 nt
Filed under: uncultured Ochrobactrum sp.
Lineage: Bacteria; Pseudomonadati; Pseudomonadota; Alphaproteobacteria; Hyphomicrobiales; Brucellaceae
Description: partial 16S ribosomal RNA
Rfam family: Bacterial small subunit ribosomal RNA
Source: RNAcentral
UGAGUAACGCGUGGGAACGUACCUUUUGCUACGGAAUAACUCAGGGAAACUUGUGCUAAUACCGUAUGUGCCCUCGGGGAAAGAUUAUCGGCAAAGGAUCGGCCCGCGUUGGAUUAGCUAGUUGGUGAGGUAAAGGCUCACCAAGGCGACGAUCCAUAGCUGGUCUGAGAGGAUGAUCAGCCACACUGGGACUGAGACACGGCCCAGACUCCUACGGGAGGCAGCAGGC